Molecule: long non-coding RNA, 630 nt
Filed under: Hordeum vulgare
Lineage: Eukaryota; Viridiplantae; Streptophyta; Magnoliopsida; Poales; Poaceae
Description: long non-coding RNA (HVUL_LNC002968)
Source: RNAcentral
CACAUGGUUGAUCAAGAUCUCAGACAAAGAGUAAAUCAAGAUGAUCAACACACAAAGCGUACAAGAUGUACCGAGAGGGAUCAAGUGAUCCCAUGGUAUGGUAAGCAUUGUCCAUUAAGUGUUUGUGUACUAACCCAUAGUCUUCGUGAGAGUUCUAUAUGGGGGUUAGGUGUGUUUCCAACACAUGGUUGAUCAAGAUCUCAGACAAAGAGUAAAUCAAGAUGAUCAACACACAAAGCGUACAAGAUGUACCGAGAGGGAUCAAGUGAUCCCAUGGUAUGGUAAGCAUUGUCCAUUGCGUGUUUGUGUACUAACCCAUAGUCUUCGUGAGAGUUCUAUAUGGGGGUUAGGUGUGUUUCCAUGGGUUUGCAUCAAAGGGAAGAUCUCAUACAACCCAUGAAGUAUGACGUCGAGUUGUGAUCGUCAUCAAGAUUGCAAUGUGCAAGUUCAAGUGGAUCAGCACGAAGAUAUCAUGCUUGAAGCUUGCCGUCCGUUGUGGUGGCAAUGGACUUGUGAAGAUAUGCUGAAGAGUGGCUCACCCAUAGUGAGUAUGGGGGAGCAAUCAACUAGUCUUCAUCAAGCCAACACAAUCAAGAAAGCUGGUCCAUCUUGAGGAAGCCAAGAUCAUCA